GAUGAACGCUGGCGGCGUGCCUAAUACAUGCCAGUCGAGCGAACGGAUGAGAAGCUUGCUUCUCUGAUGUUAGCGGCGGACGGGUGAGUAACACGUGGAUAACCUACCUAUAAGACUGGGAUAACUUCGGGAAACCGGAGCUAAUACCGGAUGAUAUUUUGAACCGCAUGGUUCAAAAGUGAAAGACGGUCUUGCUGUCACUUAUAGAUGGAUCCGCGCUGCAUUAGCUAGUUGGUAAGGUAACGGCUUACCAAGGCAACGAUGCGUAGCCGACCUGAGAGGGUGAUCGGCCACACUGGAACUGAGACACGGUCCAGACUCCUACGGGAGGCAGCAGUAGGGAAUCUUCCGCAAUGGGCGAAAGCCUGACGGAGCAACGCCGCGUGAGUGAUGAAGGUCUUCGGAUCGUAAAACUCUGUUAUUAGGGAAGAACAUAUGUGUAAGUAACUGUGCACAUCUUGACGGUACCUAAUCAGAAAGCCACGGCUAACUACGUG
Molecule: ribosomal RNA, 497 nt
Filed under: uncultured bacterium
Lineage: Bacteria
Description: partial 16S ribosomal RNA
Rfam family: Bacterial small subunit ribosomal RNA
Source: RNAcentral